Molecule: ribosomal RNA, 497 nt
Filed under: uncultured bacterium
Lineage: Bacteria
Description: partial 16S ribosomal RNA
Rfam family: Bacterial small subunit ribosomal RNA
Source: RNAcentral
GAUGAACGCUGGCGGCGUGCCUAAUACAUGCAAGUCGAGCGAACAGAUAAGGAGCUUGCUCCUUUGACGUUAGCGGCGGACGGGUGAGUAACACGUGGGUAACCUACCUAUAAGACUGGGAUAACUUCGGGAAACCGGAGCUAAUACCGGAUAAUAUUUCGAACCGCAUGGUUCGAUAGUGAAAGAUGGUUUUGCUAUCACUUAUAGAUGGACCCGCGCCGUACUAGCUAGUUGGUAAGGUAACGGCUUACCAAGGCGACGAUACGUAGCCGACCUGCGAGGGUGAUCGGCCACACUGGAACUGAGACACGGUCCAGACUCCUACGGGAGGCAGCAGUAGGGAAUCUUCCGCAAUGGGCGAAAGCCUGACGGAGCAACGCCGCGUGAGUGAUGAAGGUCUUCGGAUCGUAAAACUCUGUUAUUAGGGAAGAACAUACGUGUAAGUAACUGUGCACGUCUUGACGGUACCUAAUCAGAAAGCCACGGCUAACUACGUG